UAGGAGCGCUUCGAGAAGUGCAAGAGGAGGUGGGCUUGCCUGGAGUGUGUGGCUGUCCCAGGCAGGCAGGAUCUGCAGCCAGGGACUAUGGACUAGAAACGUGCCAGAGUGGACUCCUAGCCCAAAAUGUUCGGGGGCAAGAGGUCCGGACUCCCCGAGCUUUCCCGCUUUCUUAAAAGAAAGAGGCAUCCAAUUUUUGCCCAGGGACUACUUUCAGACAACACUUCAGAACAUAGUGCCCAAAGCCCUGAAGGACCACUCUCAGUGAGGAAGCCAGCAUCCAAGAGUGAGGUUAACUGGCUUCUGCCAAGAGUGGGCUUGCAAUGGAUGAAGACUACUGAAAAGCUAUCUAAGAAAUUACAGAAGAGGUGACUCAUAUUGGAACAAGGACACAUUUUUUUCAUGAGUUCAUCUCUACCUAGUACAAAGUGUCAAACUCAUAGCCCCCUCAAAAUUCCCCAUGCCACAAACUGAACCAGAUGAAAAUGUAACAAGGAAAUAGUUAAAAUAAAUAAAUUACAACAUAA
Long non-coding RNA from Monodelphis domestica (gray short-tailed opossum), 527 nucleotides. RefSeq lists it as uncharacterized. Lineage: Eukaryota; Metazoa; Chordata; Mammalia; Didelphimorphia; Didelphidae. The record is from RefSeq and is a predicted model, not a curated record.